Molecule: ribosomal RNA, 522 nt
Filed under: uncultured Zoogloea sp.
Lineage: Bacteria; Pseudomonadati; Pseudomonadota; Betaproteobacteria; Rhodocyclales; Zoogloeaceae
Description: bacterial SSU rRNA
Rfam family: Bacterial small subunit ribosomal RNA
Source: RNAcentral
AGAGUUUGAUCAUGGCUCAGAUUGAACGCUGGCGGCAUGCUUUACACAUGCAAGUCGAACGGUAACAGGGAGCUUGCUCCGCUGACGAGUGGCGAACGGGUGAGUAAUGCAUCGGAACGUGCCUAUUUGUGGGGGAUAACGUAGCGAAAGUUACGCUAAUACCGCAUACGCCCUGAGGGGGAAAGCGGGGGAUUCGUAAGAACCUCGCGCAAUUAGAGCGGCCGAUGUCGGAUUAGCUAGUUGGUGGGGUAAAGGCUCACCAAGGCGACGAUCCGUAGCGGGUCUGAGAGGAUGAUCCGCCACACUGGGACUGAGACACGGCCCAGACUCCUACGGGAGGCAGCAGUGGGGAAUUUUGGACAAUGGGCGAAAGCCUGAUCCAGCCAUGCCGCGUGAGUGAGAAGGCCUUCGGGUUGUAAAGCUCUUUCGAGCCGGAAAGAAAUCGCGCAGGCUAAUACUCUGCGUGGAUGACGGUACCGGAAGAAGAAGCACCGGCUAACUACGUGCCAGCAGCCGCGGUAA